RNAcentral lists this ribosomal RNA (468 nucleotides) under uncultured bacterium. Its description in RNAcentral is "partial 16S ribosomal RNA". It matches the Rfam family "Bacterial small subunit ribosomal RNA", at positions 28 to 507 of the family's 1533-position model. The record is from RNAcentral.
GACGAACGCUGGCGGCGUGCUUAACACAUGCAAGUCGAACGGAAAGGCCCUUCUUUUUUGGGAUGCUCUAGUGGCGAACUGGUUAUUAACUCGUUAGUCACCUUCCCUUGUUUUUGUUAUAACUUCAUGAAACUGGGGCUAAUACCUGAUACGACCUCCUCCUGCAUGGUGGGGGUUGGAAAGUUUCGUCGGUUGGGCAUGGACUCUGGUCUUAUCACCUUGUUGGUUGUGUAGUUGCUUACCAUGGCCUUGACGGGUAGCCGGCCUGAGAGGGUGACAGGGCACAUAGGGACUGGGAGACGGCCAAGAGUGGAACGGGAGGCAGCAGUGGGGAAUAGAGCAAAAUGGGCGGAAGCAUGAUGGAGCAACGCCGGGUGGGGGAUGACGGCCUGGGGGUUGUAAACCGCUUUAGGCUGUGACGAAGGGGGAGUGACGGUAAUGGGUAAAGAAGCACCGGCUAACUACGUG